Molecule: ribosomal RNA, 482 nt
Filed under: uncultured bacterium
Lineage: Bacteria
Description: bacterial SSU rRNA
Rfam family: Bacterial small subunit ribosomal RNA
Source: RNAcentral
UUGAACGCUGGCGGCAUGCCUUACACAUGCAAGUCGAGCGGCAGCGCGGGGGCAACCCUGGCGGCGAGCGGCGAACGGGUGAGUAAUACAUCGGAACGUGUCCAGUUGUGGGGGAUAACCAGUCGAAAGAUUGACUAAUACCGCAUACGAUCCACGGAUGAAAGCGGGGGACCGCAAGGCCUCGCGCUAUUGGAGCGGCCGAUGUCGGAUUAGCUAGUUGGCGGGGUAACGGCCCACCAAGGCGACGAUCCGUAGCUGGUCUGAGAGGACGACCAGCCACACUGGAACUGAGACACGGUCCAGACUCCUACGGGAGGCAGCAGUGGGGAAUUUUGGACAAUGGGCGCAAGCCUGAUCCAGCCAUGCCGCGUGAGUGAAGAAGGCCUUCGGGUUGUAAAGCUCUUUCGGCGGGGACGAAACGGUCCGUGACAACACCACGGACUAAUGACGGUACUCGCAGAAGAAGCACCGGCUAACUACGU